This 1080-nucleotide long non-coding RNA is filed under the name Homo sapiens (human). RNAcentral describes it as "non-protein coding lnc-OTUD4-7:1". The record is from RNAcentral. Lineage: Eukaryota; Metazoa; Chordata; Mammalia; Primates; Hominidae.
AUGCUGGAGAGGAUGUGGAGAAACAGGAAUGCUUUUACACUAUUGGUGGAAAUGUAAAUUAGUUCAACCCAUUGUGGAAGACAGUGUGGCGAUUCCUCAAGGAUCUAGAAUCAGAAAUAUCAUUUGACCCAGCAAUCCCAUUACUGGGUAUAUACCCAAAGGAUUAUAAAUCAUUCUACUAUAAAGACACAUGCACAUGUAUGUUUAUUGCAGCAUUAUUCACAAUAGCAAAAACUUGGAACCAACCUAAAUGCCCAUCGGAUUUUUAUAGUUUUGGGUUUUACAUUCAAAUCUUUAAUCCAUCUUGAGUUGAUUUUUAUAUAUGGUGUAAGGAAUAGGUCCAGUUUCAAUCUUCUGCAUAUGGCUAGCCAGUUAUCCCAGUAGCAUUUACUGAAUAGGGUGUCCUUUCCCCAUUGCUUGUUUUUGUCAGGUUUGUCAAAGAUCAGAUAGUUGUAAGUGUACCCCCAUUAUUUCUGGAUUCUCUAACUUGUUCCAUUUGUCUAUGUGUCUGUUUUUGUACAAGUACCAUGCUGUUUUAGCUACUAUAGCCUUGUAGUGCAGUUUAAAGUCAGGUGGUGUGAUGUCUCCAGCUGUGUUCUUUUUGUUUAGGAUUGCUUUGGCUAUUUGGGCUCUUUUUUGAAUAUUAGAACUCUUACAUCCAUAUUUUAUGUCUCCAGUUUUCUACUCACAUAUCUUUGUACUGUGUUACUACUGUGUUUUGGGAUAAUUUUUUUAUCUCAAUUUUCAAGCUAAGUUAUUUGAUAUUUAUGUUUUUCCGUUCUAUUUAAUCUAUAUAUUGAAUUAUUUAAAUCGAGUUAUAUUUUAAACUUCUAAUUAUUUCUAAAAUAAUUUUACCUUUUUCAAUACCAUAACUGUUCUAUUUUAUGGAUACAAUAUUCUCACAUCUCUCUCCCUCUCUCUGUGUGUGUUUGUGUGCAUUUAUGUGUUUUCUGCUGUUUCCUUGAUGUAGCAGAUAUUCAUUAGUAUCAUUUUCUGCAUCUUCCUUGGUGAGAGAAAGUUCAUAUUGCUGAGUCAUGCAUCACUUCCAUCUCGGCUAUCAUGCCAGUAAGUUUCUAUGCU